AUUGAUAAGAAACGAAGCGCAACUUAUGAGUCUUAUGAGUUAACUCGAUCCCAAGACGUUAGUCGUAGGGCUGGCAGAGGCGACAUACUGAUGCAGUACGCACGCGCACGCACGCAAGCACACGCACGCGCACUCACUCACGCUCACUUGCAGACAGGCAUACAUCACCAAUCAUCAGCACUACUACUUUAGACGUCGGGGUAUAAAAAACAGUGUAUAAAUAUAUUAUUUAUUAUUAUACACAAUGACAUUGAUGUACACACGUACUUACACACA
RNAcentral lists this unclassified non-coding RNA (276 nucleotides) under Melitaea cinxia (Glanville fritillary). RNAcentral describes it as "misc RNA ENSMCXG00005007948.1". The record is from RNAcentral. Lineage: Eukaryota; Metazoa; Arthropoda; Insecta; Lepidoptera; Nymphalidae.